This 900-nucleotide unclassified non-coding RNA is filed under the name Hevea brasiliensis (rubber tree). The record is from RNAcentral. Lineage: Eukaryota; Viridiplantae; Streptophyta; Magnoliopsida; Malpighiales; Euphorbiaceae.
AAAAAAGGGAAAAAACUUCCGAACACUCUUAGAGAGAAUGCUUGGCCUAGCACCAAUGCCGAAAUAAAAGACCAAGCCCCCCCAACACCAAGAUUUCUGCCCCAAACUAGUAUUCUAGGUGGAAAUUAUAAUAAUUUUCUCUCAUGUCCCCCACUCUACCCUUUCUCUCCCAUAUAUAAUUCUCUUAGCUGCUGCAUCACAUGCAUCCGAGAAUUGCUCAACAAAAUUGAUUUGAGCUGGCCAACUAAUUGCAAUCCUUCCAGAACUUUUUACUUAAUCUAGAAAAUGGUUCUACCCCCAAGCUAGUGUUCUAGCUGGAAAUUACAAUAACUUUCUCUCAUAUCCCCGACUCUACCCUUUCUCCCCCAUAUAUAAUUCUCUUAGCCACUGCAUCACAUGCACACGAGAGUUGCACCAACAAAACUGGGUUGAGUUAGCCAACCAAUUGCAAUCCUUCCAGAACUUUCUUACUUCAUCUAGAAUACACCAUAUCCCUAACAAAAUCUCUGAAAUUAAAAUUAAAACCAAGCUACAUUAGUUAUCCUAGAAAUAAGUUUAGUUCAACAUUAUCAAAGAUUCAAGAACUAAUUUAUCUGAUUCACAACAUAAGGAACUCAUCAUAACAAUGAAAACUAAAUAUUGAAAUCAAAAUAAAUGAGGAAACGAAGAAAAACUCUGAAAUUGUUGGAAGAUCUUCUCCCAGGUUCCUUGAAUUUUCAUUGAAUCGUCAGUAAGUGGUUGUGUCUCUAGUUGGCCGAUGAUUCAAUGUUACGCGGCUAGGUUUGAGUGUAAUCGGCAAAAGAAGAUCCCUCACUUGAUGAAAAUAUCCCCUUUUUUUGUGUUGUCCUUUAUUACGGUUUGAAGAAUGACCAGGCUAUUUCCAAAUAACAUGGGCCUAGG